This is a non-coding RNA of Malus domestica (apple), 2602 nucleotides long. The record is from RefSeq and is a predicted model, not a curated record. NCBI's taxonomy places the organism in Eukaryota, Viridiplantae, Streptophyta, Magnoliopsida, Rosales, Rosaceae.
UUGAAUUUUUAGUAAUAAAAAUGUGACAAAAUGAACACCUUCUUUUUGUGUUUUUAAUUUUUCUCACCUCUCCGAAUUCAGUCCCAUGCCGCCGUGUUCAGCUCGCCCGGUUACCGUAACCGACACAAAAAGUGCAAGUGCCAUAGACCCGCUCACAUACACUCAGGAAAUCACAACCAUACGAAGCAGCUUCCUUUUUUGGGUGGUCGAAGAAAGCUGCUCCCUUUAAAAGCCAGAAAAAUCAAAACGAUUGCAUUUUCUCUCUCUUCUCAUCACCAUCACUUUUUGCGUCUAAUUGGAGUAAGUGUUUCAUGAUGCAGCUACUUUGUAUCUUCAAUUUUUUUCUCUGCAUGUUUAUUUACGUUCUCAGCUUUUACACUACAACCAUUAGAUUUGUUAUUUUGUUUUCUCUCUUUUUUUCUUUUGGUUUUGAACAAUAAAGUCAUCAUCUUGCUUCCCCACUAACAUUUGGCACGAGUAGGAAUGGUUUAGGUGUGCUCAGUUUUGGCCUAAAUGGUUAUCGAACGAGCCUAAAUGUUUGUUUCAAUUCUCUGCUCCUGCUGUUGGUGGAUUUCAAGUUAUUUACAAAAUUGCCACCUUUCGGUGAGGGUUUCAGGGAUGGGAGACCAUGCCGCUCUGGGAUAAAGAUAGACAGACAGUGGGAGAGGGAGACAGAGCGACAGAGAGAAAGGGAGAGGGAGGAGUGGGGAUCUCAGUACCAUUGCUGCAGAUCCUCGAUUUCAUGAGUGGGAGAGGGUGUACAGUCAGAGAAAAGUAUGGGGGCCGUCGGGAUUUGAGGGGGAAGGGUAUGGAUCGGGGCCGGGGGUCUGGGUUUGUCCCUUUGGGCUGUUUGCGACCUCUCUUAGCGACUUACUCCGGCGUUCCGAUGAUGGAAACACUAAAUCAUUCACUCCUCAAUCAAUGAUGCUGACCGAAGAUUAGAGUUGAGUACCAGGAUGAGGAGACUAGGAAUGAGUUUUGGCUCUUAAUAAUUGCUGCUCUGUUGCUUGGAAUUGUCAGUGCUUUCAGUUCGACUUCAACAAUACUAUAUGUGCAUCUUAAAGUUAUAGGAAUAUAAUUUACAUUUCAGAAUUUAAUUUAUUUAAGUGUUUUGCUAAAACACAAACACUGAGACUUGGUGGUGGCCUGCACUUUGCAGCCACAACUAAGACCAAGGGGUUGAUUUUUAUUUUCCUUUCCUUACCAAUUGGAUAGAAGUGCAACCCACCAGAUAAGUAGUUAAUUAGUUAUACUACUAAAGUUACAUAAUGCCACUUAGCAGCUGGAAAUUAACGAACUAGAUUUCUUAACAUAUUUUUACAUUCCAUGUUUUUUUGUAUGACAACUUUUUAGGUGCUGCAGUUUUGUUCUGGUUUUUCAUUCUUUCUGUGAAUUUCAAUUGUAGUAGGAUUGAAUCAUUUAAAUUGUGGGAUUGUUUUGUUUGAUGGGUUUCAAUUGUGUUUUCAUUUAUAUAGUACUAAUGGAUUUACUGUGUUGGCAAUUUCAAGAAUUUGAAUCGUUGGAGGGGGAAGUUGGUUCCUAGGCAUUUUGAGGUAUAUAAUUAUAUACCCUAUUUUUAUUCAAAGCCUAUUUUAAAUGUAUGAUUGGUUUGUAAGAAAUGAAUGAAAAAGAGAGUUAGAAUACCCUAUUUUGGAUUUCGAAAAAGAAAGUUAGAAAUGUAUAAGGAUGUGCAUUUUAUUUACCCUGUUUUGGAUCAGAGUGUGUGUUAUUUGAAAAAGAGAGUUAGAGAUGUAUGAUCAGUGUGUGUGACAAUGAUUUCUAAGUUGUUUGUGAGCUGCAUUCAUUUCUUGGAAGACCACAUUAAGAAGCAUUUUGUCAAUUGAUGCCUUAUAAAAAAAUUUCGAUAUUUAAUCUUGCUUUUGUUUUAGUUUCUUAUUAGCACAUGGCGUAAUUUGCUUCGCUUGGUGGUUAUUUGAUGUGCCGUCAAAUCUGAGUAUCUUUAUUUGAAAAUGAUUCAUAGCUGUUGAGGAUUGUAGCAGCACUUCGUUUUGAUUUGUAAACAAACAAUAUACUUUAUUUUUGUCUUGGGUUACAGUAUAACGUUUAACGAUUGAAUUUGUUAGACGGUUUAGCAAUUUUUUCAAGAACUUACUAUUCUUGCCAGGUACUCAAGUAUUAUGUUUCUACUUUUCUACUUUCCCUUUUCUGUGUUUUUCUUCCAUGUAGUAGGCUGAUUACUUGCAACUAUGAUAUUGAUGACACAAUACAAUCUAUAAAUAGAUGUUUCUUAUAGCAUGCAUAUCCAUAUAUAGCAAGCAAAAUUUGACUUCGAUGGUUCUUACGUAUUACGACGUCUUUUUAGUUGCUUUAUUGGAAUGCUAUUCAUGAAUGUUGUGACUAAUUAUUCAAUGCUUGCAGCAAAGCGCGGGUGCAUUUUCUAGUGUUACUCUAAUUCAACAAUUGCUUCUAACUGUAGGAGGCAGUUGCGAAUAUUAGACUGUCAUUGUUUUGCCUGCAAAAGACAGUUGCGAAAAUUAGACCGUCUUUGUUUUACCUGCAAAAGACAGUUGCGAAAAUUAGACUGUCAUUUCUCGAAAUUAAUCAAUAUCGUUACCACAAAUAUAAGCCGCUAAUUACAUGA